GGUAAAGUGGCCGAGUGCUAGGCAGUAGGCUGUAGUCCUACCCACAUGGGUUUAAUUCCUCUCUUUAUC
Molecule: transfer RNA, 69 nt
Filed under: Anolis brunneus
Lineage: Eukaryota; Metazoa; Chordata; Lepidosauria; Squamata; Anolidae
Description: tRNA-Tyr
Rfam family: tRNA
About the family: Transfer RNA (tRNA) molecules are approximately 80 nucleotides in length. Their secondary structure includes four short double-helical elements and three loops (D, anti-codon, and T loops).
Source: RNAcentral